UGGCUCAGAGGGUAAAGCAUCUGCCUGCAAUGCAGGAGACCCAGGUUCGAUUCCUGG
This 57-nucleotide transfer RNA is filed under the name Capra hircus (goat). It matches the Rfam family "tRNA", at positions 8 to 63 of the family's 71-position model. From Rfam's summary of the family: Transfer RNA (tRNA) molecules are approximately 80 nucleotides in length. Their secondary structure includes four short double-helical elements and three loops (D, anti-codon, and T loops). Lineage: Eukaryota; Metazoa; Chordata; Mammalia; Artiodactyla; Bovidae. The record is from Rfam by way of RNAcentral. RNAcentral also lists the same sequence under 2 other names.